UGUCAACCUUUAAUAGUCCGGCAACUCCCGGACAACUUGGAAAAUAGAACGGGCAGAAAUUUGCAUUAGUGGUUUUUGGGCAGAGAAAUUUAUAUUUAUAAUAAAUGAAAUACGUGCGAAAGUUAUGACGAAUACGAUUUUGUGUGCCAAAUUGUAAUCGUUAUAGCAUUUUGAAGUAUCCACCAACUGCGCUGCAAGUUGCAAUGGGCAAAGAUCAAGAUCUGCUGGAAGCAGCACGCAUUGGAAAUAUUGCUGUAGUCGGCAAAAUUCUUGAGCAGAUUACAAAACGCAGCAGUGGGCCUUUCUCAAGCUUUCGUCGCAGU
This 323-nucleotide long non-coding RNA is filed under the name Rhagoletis pomonella (apple maggot). RNAcentral describes it as "uncharacterized LOC118732701". Lineage: Eukaryota; Metazoa; Arthropoda; Insecta; Diptera; Tephritidae. The record is from RNAcentral.